This 67-nucleotide non-coding RNA is filed under the name Providencia alcalifaciens. Lineage: Bacteria; Pseudomonadati; Pseudomonadota; Gammaproteobacteria; Enterobacterales; Morganellaceae. The record is from RNAcentral.
UUCACAACGACAUUGCUCACAUUGCUUCCAGUUUAGCUGGCCAACUCAUUUGAGUUGGCCUUUUUUU